This is a long non-coding RNA of Neofelis nebulosa (Clouded leopard), 2056 nucleotides long. RefSeq lists it as uncharacterized. The transcript has 2 exons. The record is from RefSeq and is a predicted model, not a curated record. NCBI's taxonomy places the organism in Eukaryota, Metazoa, Chordata, Mammalia, Carnivora, Felidae.
AUGGGUGCGUUGAGACAAGAGACAGCCCCUCCCAUGACCCCUCCCCACCUCUGAGCCCUGAAGGUGGUCUGGGGUCUCCUUGGAACCCCUCUCCUUGGGUCCUGCCCUUGUGUGAAGACACCAUCAGUUUUGAACCUGUCCUCAGCGCCCGGGCCUUGUGGGUGUUUCUAGUGCUUUGCCCAAGCCGAGGGUGCUGUCCUGGGCAACCCAGUCCACGCCAUUUCCUGCCUGCGUGGUGGAGUCAGUUCCUUGCUUUCCUAGAAGCGAGUUUGUUUGGUCAAAGGGCAUGCGCAUUUGUGGUUUUGGGAGAUGCAGCCCAAAUCAUUACCAGUGAAAAUCUUGCCAGUGAAGGAGAGCCUGGCAGUGAAAUGCUUACUAUCCAGGGACCCCCCUGGCGGUGAACUGGAGCUUCUAAACUUUCUGAUGUGAAGCCUUGUCCUGAAGGGUCUGAUCCCUCUCACGGCCCAAAGAAGGAAAUGAAACCUACCCUCUCCGGCCUGCCUCCUUCUACCACUGGUGACUCAUCAGAGCCCGACCCUGUGGCAGGCAGGUCUGUGUCAUGAAGGACAAAGUCCAGACUGUACAUGACCCGGCCUCUGACGACAGCUUGAGGUCACUUCCUCUCCUGCUUUACACAUCAGCCAGCAGAAACCCUUGCAGUCCUUCGAAUCAAACCGUGUUUGCUCACGUUCGCGCUGGGACACCUCUUCCCUGUGACCCUGGCGGUGGUCAUUCACACUUCAGUUCACCGGCCGAGCCAGCCCAGCUCCCCCCUCCUCCCGAAAGCCUUCUUGGUUCCCCAUGCCGGGCAGUCCCCCCUCUGGUGUCCCUGAGCCCUCCCUAGGCUUCCCCGGCCCGGCCCCGCCCACUCUGGGUUGUCACUACUUGGGGAGGGUUCUGUUUCCCCCACUGGACGGCGAGCCCCGGGAGGGCAGGGCUGUGGCUGCUGUGCUCAGCCCUGGGUCCCCAGUAUCGCCCAGCAGAGAGCUCUACACAGACGGGGGGCCAGAGGGAGGCAUGUUGAACGAAUGAAUACAGGAGUGCACGAAUGAAUGGCUUUGGCAAUGAGUUGAUCUCCGAUUAUCGUCUGUUAGGCCCCUUUCCGACGGCAGCACAUACACUUCUGUUUUCUGUCGAUACUGGAAUUUAGAGGAAAAUUACUCAUUAAGUUCUGUGUGUGUCUCUAUCUGUGUGAGAGAGACAGAGAGCGAGCGAGCUUGAGAGCUUGAAGAGAGUCUGAGGAAAGAGCUGGGGGGGGGGGUUGUGGGAGGCGGGGAGGGCUGAAGACGCACACAAGGAGUGGGCUGGAGGUUUGGAUUUUGGAGAUGGAGUCCGUGAACUCUGUGAGGGCAGAGGCCACGUCUGUCCUGUUCCUGCCUCUAGCACAGAGCCCGCCACGCAGGAGGUGCCCAGUGAAUAUUCGUUGGGCGAACGAAGGAACCAGGUGUUGUUCAAGUCGCCUGGGAAUCUCGUGUGCCUCUGUCAUUGCGGAUCGCAGUGUAUCCGGGGCCGGUGUGGAACCAGAAGUAAGUUCUUCCGGUCCCCUUCAGGGAGGAGAGUCUGACUCACUUCUGAUAAGCAUGGGAAGCCAAUAUGGGACUGUGGUCACCCCUCUAUUCCAGGCUCCCAGAGACAUCAAUACUCCCUACAGGUCCUUCACCCUGGAGAGCUUGGGUGGGUCCUCGGAACUCUCGGCUCACCACUUACAGUAGCUGCUGCUGGUCUGGCAAACGUGGGGGUCAAGGAGAAGUGGAUGCUGGUGGAAGGGAGGUGAAAAACAUGAGUUGUGGAGAGGAACUGGGGCCAGAGGUUACAGCUGGAAAUCCCAUCUCCCCUGGACCGCUUCAUCCUUCUUGUGCUCUUGCCUGUGGUCCUCGAGCAUGGGGCAGCAGAGAUGGCUGCCCGGAUGUCUGGGAUGCCUGGAUGGAGGAGGUAAAUCCCAGGGUUUCUUCGUUGUUGAGUUUUGUUUCGUUUUCGUUUUUGUUUUUGUCUUCCACCUGGAUACAAAACGUGUGAUGCCCACACAGUCACAGAAUAAAGCAGAACGGGUUCAGGA